Molecule: long non-coding RNA, 2604 nt
Organism: Strigops habroptila (Kakapo)
Lineage: Eukaryota; Metazoa; Chordata; Aves; Psittaciformes; Psittacidae
Source: Ensembl
UUUUUUUUUUUUUACAAAGGGCAAGACUGCAUUCUGUAAACUGGAAAACAAACCCACCUUACUCAAACUCAGUGCUGUUCAUUGUAAUCUGCCCAGAAAUGGGAGUGGAUUUGAUGUUGGAACCUGUCUUCCUUUUCCAGAAGUGAGCCUCCAUGCCAGCCUUUGCCAAAUGUGUCCCUUCUCCUCCAGUCCUGUGUGAACCCCCAUCAGGAGGGGGACCGUGUAUCUGCCCCUCUCCCUCCUGCUGGAAGCUGGGUUUCAGAAGUGCCAGUUGGAUGUGGAAAGCCAUGGGCUGCUCUGAGCCAUUCUGCAGGUUCUUGCUUCCCUGUGUUCUCCAGGGAAAUGAACCUCCAGUAAAUGGUUUUGUGGUUCCUGAGCAGUUUGGUUAGAUCAAAGCUCCUCAUUACUAGCCGUGCAUAUCAGCCACUUGUAUGUGUGCUGUAGGAAGGCACUUGGAGAGCUCUGGGUCCUGUCUGCAGGCCUGUGGAAGGUCUAUGACAGAAGAUUGUGUGAGCUGGUGCUUGGCUUUAGCCCAGAUCUGCCCUCCGGGGAGGAGCGAAGCACAGAGAAGCUGCAGAAUGGCUCCAGCUGCUGAAAGCCCAGCAUGGAGAGGACACGGGGUGGGAGGAGCAGCAGACAAGGCUGUGCCUAGAAAGCGGUGCUGAUGCUGCAGGCUCCGAUGGGACAAGCUCAGCUUGAGCUGGAGAGGAAUGCACGGCACCGGAGUGCUGUGGAGUAUUGGGAAGCAGCAUGUGUCUGCCCUGGGGAAGGGGUGUCCAUAACCCCACAGGUGAGGAUCCCACCUCCCUGCUCUCCUGUAGCUCCCAAGGAUUGUCCCCCAUUCCCACAGCAUGGGGCUGUGUGUCUGUCCUCCAGCAGUAGCACGUGCUUCAUCCCUCCUUCCCAAGGAGCUUGGGCUCUGUCACCCGUGCUAGCUGCGGGCUGGAGCACAGCCCGAAGUAGCCCAGCUUGGGUCACAUAGCACGUCAUUGCAGGCCAUUUCGGUCACUAGAAGCCACCCAAGUCCCUCGCCCAGGAGGCCAGAUACUUCUUUGGGACAUGGAAAGACAUUUGGCUUCUCCUAGCCAGCUCCAGCUGGCUCCGGAGCUGGGCAAGCACUGUGGAAAGGCCAAGUGGCUCAUGUCAUCGUGUGAAGGACAAUUCCAGGCCUUGCCUCCCCCAUAAACCUCCCCAGACCCCACUGCCCACCAUUCCCAAGGACACAUCUGCCUGCUCCUUGGAAGGGACAGGGUGCCACCAGGCCUGCCCUGCGUUGGAGGGAGCAGCGUGCGUGGCUGGCUGCAUCUCCUGGUGACAAGGAUCUGCUUGGGAGGGGAAAGCUCUGUGUGUAAUUUGUUCCCUUGAGAAGGGAGGAGGAGGAAGGGAAGCUGGUUUCUUUGCCCAGCUUGAUCUCAGGAGAAAUUCCCUAUAGAAAGGCUCUUCCAUGCAGACCAGAAAUGCUGCUUCCUUCCACUACUCUACUGCUGUCUGAGUGCUUCAGCUGGGGAGAGCAGCCAAAGGGCUCAGCUCUGUCCCAGCAUGGCUCUGGUUUUAAUCUGUGGUUUUAAUCGAAGGGAGUUGGGGAAGGUGGUUCCAUUGCAGAGCUGUGAAGGUGUUGGAGGGCUGGAUGGAGGCUCAGACCGGGAUGGCAGAAAGGGGAAGGGGCUGGAGGGACAUGUCACAUGCAGCUCUCCGGUCUCUGGGCAAUAAAGCCACCAAGCCCCUGGCAUCAGAGGUCUCUGCCUGGGGAUGGUUGUCCCUUCACACUGAUGGCUCAUGGAUGUGUGGUGGUUCACUCCAGUUCCUUUGGCCACCCCAUGAGAGCUUCUUGUGACCCGCUGAGCACCCCGGGGAGCUCAGGCCUUGCUGAUAGAGGGGUUUUAGGCGAAACGUGUUGUUUUAAGGGCAUUUUUGUACAAAGCAACUGUUCUUUUGGUCUUGCGAAGCCCUCUCGGAGGACGCUGCGUUGUUUACAUUGACUCCUGUACAAUAUCUCAGCCAUCGCCUCCCCUCGCCCGCCCCGGCUCCGGCUGUACUGUAACGUGUGAGCCUUGCACAAACGGAUCGUGUGUGUGUGAACCUGGUUUGUACACUGUUCUGUUGCACUCGGUGGUGUGUGUGUGUGUGUCCCCUGCUCCCAUCAUGGUGCGUCCUGCCUUAAUCUGGUCCCAGCUCCAUGCACCCCCCCCAUGCUUCUCCCUAAGGGAGGGACCCCCCCAAGCCCUUGCUGGUGUGGGACAGAGGCAGGCGCUGGCCUGGCACGGGAGGGGUCCAGGCUCUUGGUCACCCUCCAGCAGUGCUGCCAGAGGUGCUAACAGCCCGCCCGCGCUGCAGACAUCUCUGUUGGCACAAAAGGUGGUGCCAGUGCCUUUUAUUUUCCUUUAUGGAGAUGUGACGUCCGUGCUGGUGCGUAGGGAUCACCUCGGGGGUGGCUGGUGCUGGAGUUGCAAACCGGGGGGCGCUUCCGUCUGCUCCUCCUGGAUCUUCCUUGGUGGCUGGGAUCGUCCCCUUCCCCCCUAAAGACUUUAUGACCGAUGUGCUCAGCUGUUUUUAAAUGUGAACUUGUGCACUGAUGCGCAGAUUCAAUGUUCUUGUUACCGAAUA